GGGUCGAUGCCCGAGCGGUUAAUGGGGACGGACUUAAAUUCGUUGACGAUAUGUCUACGCUGGUUCAAAUCCAGCUCGGCCCA
Molecule: transfer RNA, 83 nt
Filed under: Alloeochaete oreogena
Lineage: Eukaryota; Viridiplantae; Streptophyta; Magnoliopsida; Poales; Poaceae
Description: tRNA-Tyr
Rfam family: tRNA
About the family: Transfer RNA (tRNA) molecules are approximately 80 nucleotides in length. Their secondary structure includes four short double-helical elements and three loops (D, anti-codon, and T loops). Further hydrogen bonds mediate the characteristic L-shaped molecular structure. tRNAs have two regions of fundamental functional importance: the anti-codon, which is responsible for specific mRNA codon recognition, and the 3' end, to which the tRNAs corresponding amino acid is attached (by aminoacyl-tRNA synthetases). tRNAs cope with the degeneracy of the genetic code in two manners: having more than one tRNA (with a specific anti-codon) for a particular amino acid; and 'wobble' base-pairing, i.e. permitting non-standard base-pairing at the 3rd anti-codon position.
Source: RNAcentral